ACAAAUACGUAUACAAAUGUUUACUUCAUAUAUUUUUAUGUUAUAACUAUGUAUGUGUAAAAUUUAAAUAUAUAGAAAAAAAAUUAAAAUAAAUCUCUCACAAUAAAGACCAAAGAACCCCGAAAGUUUCUCUUCCAAGCCCAAUCUUUGCUGUGAAACUCGGUUUAUUUCUAUGGCGGAUUUCCUCGAUCAUGGAGGAAAUGAAUAACCGUUGUCUUUUCAAUCUUCAUCUCUCCAUAGGAAAAGAAUAUAACGAAUGAAUGAACAAAAUUUAAUUUAAAGCUUCAUGUUCAGUACUUCCAUACCCAAACAAGAUCAAGGAGAUCGGAUUUUGCUUUGUUGGGGGGAUAAGACUCUAAUGAGAGGGAAUUUAAACGGGGAAGCAGCAGCCCCGCUUGGACCCAAAAAAUGCGG
RNAcentral lists this long non-coding RNA (414 nucleotides) under Durio zibethinus. RNAcentral describes it as "long non-coding RNA (DZIB_LNC001205)". Lineage: Eukaryota; Viridiplantae; Streptophyta; Magnoliopsida; Malvales; Malvaceae. The record is from RNAcentral.